Molecule: non-coding RNA, 326 nt
Organism: Hydra vulgaris (swiftwater hydra)
Lineage: Eukaryota; Metazoa; Cnidaria; Hydrozoa; Anthoathecata; Hydridae
Source: RefSeq, a predicted model, not a curated record
CAGGGAGAGGACAAAAAAUUGGAAUAGGAAAAAUGUUGAUUGCAUAUGUUGCUAUUGAAACUGUGAAGUCAAAUAAGCAUGGUUUAUGCAGACAUGUGAUAGAGAUAGUCGAAGAAAAAAUAAUAAUAGUGGGUACCAAAUAUCAUAAACUAAACAUGAUUCAAUAACAAGUAGCUCAGCCAAUAUCGAAACUACUCUAUAAAUUUUAUAGUUAAUUUUUUUAUUUGAAACUCAAUGUGUCAGCUUUUGGUUUAAGUUUAGUGUUUGCAAUGUGUAUAUUUAACUGAGAAAUUAUGUUAAAUAAAUAAAUUUUUAUACUUGUAUCA